UGCAUUUGCAUGGGAUUUUGACCGGCUGGUUUUGGCUACUGUUGACUUGCUGGUUUGAAUCGUUUUAGAUGCAAUUCCAUUAGGUUUCCAGCGUCACUUAGGUUCCCAUGCCAUCAUGGGCUGGAGAGCUACAUAUUGGAAAAGCCAUUUAGCUAGUUUUGGCUAAUGGGCUGGACUCAAAUAAAUAAAAUACAUGUUUGGGCUUACAAAUAAGCUUUUCUCAGCCAUAAAAGUUGGGCCUUUUAGUGUUUUCUAGCUGGCCAACAUUCUCUUUUAUUAACGUGGGCUGUUAUUAGAAAAACCGUUUGGCCAUAAAAAUUAUUCGAUCAACUUUUUAAGUCAUGUUCAUAUAAAAAAUUUAUUAAGAAAUUAACUAUUGAACGUAUCCUGGUAUUUGUAUCCAAAUUUGGAUCCAUAUCUAAAUAUCCUUUUUUUUAAGUUUUGAGAUGUUCAACCGCUAGGCACCCACACCUGACACUUGUACUCAAGUGUGUGUAACAUAGUAUAUCUGUAUAAUUAGAAAUGCAAUUAAAUUAGAAAUUGUGUUAAUAACUUAAAAUUUAAAUUAUAAAAUUGGGGGUAUUUGAGUUGUUAUGUAGUUUAAUUGGUUAAUAUUGAUUGAAUUAAAAAAUAACGUGUAUUGUAGGAGAGGGAGAGAGAGAAGAUAGCAUGUGGGUGUUAAGGUCAUUUUUCAUGUGAUGUUAACGAAGAUAGGGUUGCAUUUUAGUUCAAAAUCACAUGGGUUUUUUUUUUUUUUAAUUUUUUAAUUUUUUGUUUUUGAAUGACAAGGAGUUCAAGUGCUCCAAAGCCAAACCACAUGAUACCAAACUAGAUUUUGCCUUCACAUUUUUAACUAGUGUUGUGAUACUACAACAAAAUUCUAACUUAACGUAUUUGCAAAUAUUGUAGAAACUUGGAAGGAACCAUCGUAUAGAUUACAUGGAAGUUUUGAAUGUUGGUAGCUAGCAAAUUGCUUUACUAAGAAAAAAACAAACUUUAGACUUGCAAAUAGAUUUAAUCCAAGAGUUUAGAUUGGCUCUUAUCAAGGAAAGUUGCUGAAAUUCAUUCAAAAUUUCAGUAUGUUGCUGAAAGUGGAUGGGCUUGAGUUGAGUGUGGAACAGUCAGUGGUUGAGAAGCUGUGUGGUGGAAGGAGAACCAGAUAUUAUUGUGGCAAAGAAGAUAAAAUUGCUUAGAGAAGAUAUUAAAAGAUGGAAUGAGGAGGAGCUUGGAGACUUCUUGUAACGACCUAUAUUUUAUAUCUGCAGUUAAUUUCUUCAAAUAAAGGGCACUAAAAUCCUCAAUCAUCUAAGAAAUAAUGUCUCCAAAAUUACAAUUCACAAUUGUCUUGAAAUAUUAAAUAAUACACAAAUAGCCCCAAAAAUUCCAUAAUCAAUAAUUCGUCUAAAAAUCUGAACUUGUACCGACUUUCACUCCAAAUCAACAUCCAAAUACCCCGAGGAUGAAUAAGGUAAGCUUGACAGUCCAUUAACUCACCAACAACCACAGGUAGGUGGACCCUAACUCACCUAAUCUGUCACCCUAGGGUGGUGGAUCAUGCUCCAAAAAUGUGAAUCGGUGGAUUGAGUGUCAAUUCAAUUUGCAGAAUUAAAUUUGCUAAUUCAUUUAGGAAGGAAUGAAUCCGGGCUUAUUCCAUAGAAAUUGCCAUGGGUCUAUGCUUUUAAGCCCUUACUUUAAAAGCAUUAAAAGUCUUAUGUUUACAUGGCACAAUAUUGACCAUGUAAAAGACAUGUACCUACUGAUGGCAGUGAGCACAGCUGCUAGUGGCUGGAGCUUUUAUAGACAAAAGCCUUUAAUACUUUUAUAACUCACUCAAUUUGUGAUUGUCUAACUACGCAAUAGUUGAGAGUGGGUUUAAAAAGCCACUGGAUGCCUACAAAAUUUCAAACUUUCUGCAUCCCAUCAAUGUGGGAUUGUACAAACUGAAGAAUUUUGGCAUUAAUCAAUUGGUUGAAUUAUGCAUAUACAUGUUUUGAAGGCGCUUCUGCUCUCAAGGUAUUUUUAGAUAGCCCGCUCUAGCUCCCUCUUCUGCUCCUGCAUCCUGAAUUGGUGUCUUAGCUUGGACAAAGUAUGCAAAAUAAUCAAUAGAGAGAGAGAGAGAGACAUACAUACUUAGGCUAAAGACCGGCCUUGGAUCGAGCACAGAAGGAUCCUGGGAAAUUUUGUGAGAAGCCCCCAGUAGUUUUAGGGUAGCUACUAAGGGUGCAACUUAGGCAGUCUCAACCCGAGUAAACCGAGUCAAGCACAUAUAUUUUGGGACUUGGGCACUAGCUUCAAAUAGUUUUGCUGAAAAUAUGAGGUGGAUGAAUUGCAUGUGUAGGGAUCUCAGAAAUGAUUUGUUUGUUUUGGAAGGGUAUGUAUGUACGUACCAGGCAUGUUCCAUUUUUGUUGUGGUGUAUUUUGUUGUUGAGUUUAUACUCCUUGGUUUCAUAUGAUAAUAUACAUGGGCAGAUCUAUUUAAGUUUCUAGUAAAAUUUCUCACUUUUUUCAUAAUUUUUGUACAAAAAAUCAUAUAGAUUAAUGUGACAGACAUUUUUGCAAUGAAUAUAAAUGAGAUACAUCUUUCUAUA
Camellia sinensis is the source of this 2588-nucleotide long non-coding RNA. RefSeq lists it as uncharacterized. The record is from RefSeq and is a predicted model, not a curated record. Lineage: Eukaryota; Viridiplantae; Streptophyta; Magnoliopsida; Ericales; Theaceae.